CUCAGGCCCUCCAGUGAGCUCGAAAACAGGCCAUUCUCGUCACUGUGCGGCCUACGGUAAUUCAGCCCACACAGCAGACACACAGGAAGCAUGCCCCACCCUCGGAGCAGUGCCCUCUGAUAGUUCUAAGGACCCCACCUUCAUUAUCCCCAGGAUCGGCUCCCAGGACCCAAGGUGUUGAAGGUGAUGGCUCCGGCUGUGCUGAUGUCCACGCUGAGCCGCUCCCCUGCAUCAAGGGGAGGAAAGUCACUGGCACACAGAGCAGAACAGUCAUGAAAAACCAAGCCGUGACACGUCAUCACGUGUCCUGCUCCAUGGAAAUGGAUGGACCUCUGGAGGCUCUUCCAGGUUGGCCGAGAGUGCUCUGACCCUCUGGGUCACCCCAGCAUCCUUCUUUUCCACCAUGAACUCUCCCAGCUGGUCCAGUCCCAACCUGCCCGCCUGCCUGGUGGCCUCAGCUGCAACUUCUCCAGUGAAUGCAGAGCAGUGGUUAGAAACCAAGAUCUGGAUCCUCCUGUGCUCCUGGUACUUACCAAGGUGUCACCUUUCCCUCAGUCCUCUCAAGGGACAGAGCCAGGUGACAUAUGUGUGUGCUCACCAUGCUUACAUGGGUAUUUGUAGUUUUCUGUCCAUCUCUCUGAGUGUACAUACAUGUACACAGACACAUGAAACGAAAAACAUGAUUCCUGCUAAUACCUCUCCAACAUUAUUUUUUGUAUUUCUUAUCUUUUCAGCCCAUCAUUUCCAUUCAUGGUAUUUCUCAGCUACUAAUCAUAGUUAUUCUAUAUCUAGUUCUAUGGCAAACAAGAGCAACAUAUCACAAAAGACCACUUAGGGGUCUUUUGUUUCCUGUUCUCCCCUUUGGUAACUAUUUCUGGUGGCUCUUCAGUGAUCAGUGGUGAAAUGUACAUGAAAAUUACAAUAGCAAAAAUACUGCACUGAACAAAAUAUACAGGCUAGUGACCGCUAUGGCCUGGACCUUACAUGUCCCUCUAAGGCCUAUGUGUCAGGCAGAGGCCUGGGCCCUGACUUGAGACAUGGCAGGAGGUGGUGGCAUGUCCUUGAGGUCACUGAGGGCCUGCCUUUUUGGGGGACCAUGGGGCUAAUAUCCAUCCCUCUCCUCUCACAUCUCCACAAUGAGGGGUGCAUUCCUGCUCUGCCUUGUACCCCCACCAAGGAGCUAGCUCGCCUCAGGCCUCAAAGCUAUGGGGCCAAUCAACCAUGGCUGGAAAUUUCAAGAUCUUUUUUCUUCCUAAGCAGAUUAGGUCAGGAAUUUGUGACAGUGGUGGCAAGCAAGCAACACAGCCACAUAUGCAGCUUCACACAACUGGAAAAUGGUGAGACAGGCUGAGCAGCACAUAAGCAAACAGUAGCCCCUCCACGGGCCUGGAGGAGGCCCCAAGUCACGGUGGAGCAGCUCCUGAGCUGGCCAGAAGCUGCUGCAGGCUCUGUAGCCUUCCUGACCCUUAGCAAGGGAAAGUGGGAAGACCCACCGAGGCACCAGGCCUACUGUCACUGCUGCCGUCAGACCAUAGCAGCAGGGAACAUGAUCCUCACAGCAUCUGCUAAAAGCUCACUCUGUGCUGGGCACUAAGCAUAUUUGCCUGUGUGAGCUCUCUGC
Heterocephalus glaber (naked mole-rat) is the source of this 1621-nucleotide non-coding RNA. The record is from RefSeq and is a predicted model, not a curated record. Lineage: Eukaryota; Metazoa; Chordata; Mammalia; Rodentia; Bathyergidae.